This 303-nucleotide ribosomal RNA is filed under the name uncultured bacterium. RNAcentral's name for it is "partial 16S ribosomal RNA". It matches the Rfam family "Bacterial small subunit ribosomal RNA", at positions 507 to 807 of the family's 1533-position model. The record is from RNAcentral.
AGCAGUCGCCGCGGGAAAACGUAGGUGGCAAGCGUUGUCCGGAAUUAUUGGGCGUAAAGGGCUCGCAGGCGGUUUCUUAAGUCUGAUGUGAAAGCCCCCGGCUCAACCGGGGAGGGUCAUUGGAAACUGGGAAACUUGAGUGCAGAAGAGGAGAGUGGAAUUCCACGUGUAGCGGUGAAAUGCGUAGAGAUGUGGAGGAGCACCAGUGGCGAAGGCGACUCUCUGGUCUGUAACUGACGCUGAGGAGCGAAAGCGUGGGGAGCGAACAGGAUUAGAUACCCCAGUAGUCCCUGUCUCUUAUAC